CCUACGGGGGACAGCAGUGAGGAAUAUUGGUCAAUGGCCGGAAGGCUGAACCAGCCAAGCCGCGUGAGGGAGGAAGGCGCAGAGCGUCGCAGACCUCUUUUGCCGGGGGACAAAAGGCCGGACUCGUCCGGUCCUGAGGGUACCCGGAGAAAAAGCAUCGGCUAACUCCGUGCCAGCAGCCGCGGUAAUACGGAGGAUGCGAGCGUUAUCCGGAUUCAUUGGGUUUAAAGGGUGCGCAGGGGGGCCUUUAAGCCGGUGGUGAAAUCGCGGGGCUCAACCCCGCCGGGCCGUCGGAACUGGGGGCGUUGAGUGCGGCGGAGGCAUGCGGAAUGCGCGGUGUAGCGGGGAAAUGCAUGAAUAUCG
RNAcentral lists this ribosomal RNA (363 nucleotides) under uncultured bacterium. Its description in RNAcentral is "partial 16S ribosomal RNA". It matches the Rfam family "Bacterial small subunit ribosomal RNA", at positions 338 to 699 of the family's 1533-position model. The record is from RNAcentral.